CCUACGGGGUGCAGCAGUGGGGGAUAUUGCACAAUGGGGGAAACCCUGAUGCAGCGACGCCGCGUGUGGGAAGACGGUCUUCUGGAUUGUAAACCACUGUCCCCAGGGACGAAAAUGACGGUACCUGGGGAGGAAGCUCCGGCUAACUACGUGCCAGCAGCCGCGGUAAUACGUAGGGAGCAAGCGUUGUCCGGAAUUACUGGGGGUAAAGGGAGCGUAGGCGGGGAUGCAAGUUGGGUGUCAAAACUACCGGCUCAACCGAUAGUCGCACUCAAAACUGCAGCUCUUGAGUGAAGUAGAGGCAGGCGGAAUUCCUAGUGUAGCGGUGAAAUGCGUAGAUAUUAGGAGGAACACCAGUGGCGAAGGCGGCCUGCUGGGCUUUUACUGACGCUGAGGCUCGAAAGUGUGGGGAGCAAACAGGAUUAGAUACCCUGGUAGUC
RNAcentral lists this ribosomal RNA (440 nucleotides) under uncultured bacterium. Its description in RNAcentral is "partial 16S ribosomal RNA". It matches the Rfam family "Bacterial small subunit ribosomal RNA", at positions 338 to 795 of the family's 1533-position model. The record is from RNAcentral.